RNAcentral lists this ribosomal RNA (254 nucleotides) under uncultured bacterium. RNAcentral describes it as "partial 16S ribosomal RNA". It matches the Rfam family "Bacterial small subunit ribosomal RNA", at positions 524 to 776 of the family's 1533-position model. The record is from RNAcentral.
GACAGAGGGUGCAAACGUUGUUCGGAAUUACUGGGCGUAAAGCGAGUGUAGGCGGUUCGAUAAGUCGGAUGUGAAAGCCCCCGGGCUCAACCCGGGAAGUGCACUCGAUACUGUCGAGCUAGAGUAUCGGAGAGGUUGGUGGAAUUCUCGGUGUAGAGGUGAAAUUCGUAGAUAUCGAGAGGAACACCGGUGGCGAAGGCGGCCAACUGGACGAAUACUGACGCUGAGACUCGAAAGCGUGGGGAGCAAACAGG